Molecule: long non-coding RNA, 956 nt
Organism: Triplophysa dalaica
Lineage: Eukaryota; Metazoa; Chordata; Actinopteri; Cypriniformes; Nemacheilidae
Exons: 3
Source: RefSeq, a predicted model, not a curated record
GUGCUUAAAGGUCUUUGUGUUCGAAUGGGUUGUAUAGUUUUGAAUGAACUGUACAGUGUUCAUCUUUUUAUUCUUACGGAUGCUUUUACUGUACAUGACCAUAGGUGUGUGCUUGAGUUGGCGUGUGAUAAUUCCUCUACACCACUGGAUGGCAGCACCUCUAAACAUCUGGACUUGAACUAAGACUGUGUUGUUCAUAAAUCAGAAGUAACAUCAGUUGUGGUCAAAAGUUUCUAUAGCCAAUGGUUGAUGGAUGAAUCAGGUUUAAUUCUGAGAGACCAACAUCUAAUGAUGCAUCAGGUGAAAUGCACUGUACAUCCCUCCAGAAAAGAGAUUUCCUAGAAUGAGCGUGAGUCUGGAAUUUCUGACGGAUGAAAGCUCUAUAGAAGGUGUGACAUUCCCUAUAUCAGCGUGAGGUCUUACAGUAACCGUCUCUUAAACAGCCAACGGAGACGACAUGAUGAGCUCGACUCGCUUUAAUUCUCAGCCAACAUUAUACAAGCAUAGUCACAGGCCGUUCUGGAAUACUUGAUUCUGAUUGGCUGUGUAAUUGACCUGCAAGUAGCUGCAGGGCUUCUUUUUCUCGCAUAAAAAAAGACUUUACAAUCUAAUCAUUAUUUUACCCCGAACGCCCCGUUCACAGCUGUAAAUAAAUGACUGUGGCCGAUUAAAGCCGUUUGAAAAAGUUUAGAGCUGUGAUCUGAAAUUUUGGAUCUGAAUGAGAACAUAAAUCAGCAGGUCACUUAAAAUAAUGAUUUAUAGUUGUCGGGUGUGAUUUUAUGGUAAAUGUCAGUCUGACAUCAUUAGACUCAACACAGGGUACAUAAAGUGACCUGUGAUUAUAUGUUUUUAACAGAGAUGGCGAUAGAGAGCCACAAAUUAUGCAUUAUUACUACAUAAACUUCACAGAAGCUGAUUGUUUCCUGUGACUGUUUUCAUUUGUGUGCACUUUAUCA